AAUGUUCUCAUCUUUGUGAAGAUGGUGGUAAUGCAGGUCCUCUUGAAUCUGAUGAUUGGGUGAAUGUGAGGAAUGUGAUAGAGUUUCUUGCAAGAUUUCACGAGCUAACUAAAAAAGUUUCAGUGUGGCGUCGGAAUGCGCGUUUAGCACUGGUGGCCGUAUUCUUGAUUCAUUUAGGAGUUCAUUGACUCCUAAAUGUGUGCAAGCUCUUAUUUGUGUUCAAGAUUGGCUUAGAGAAGAGAAGAAUCCUAUUAGUAUUGAAGAAGACUUGAAGUAUCUUGAGGAACUCGAGCUUGAUAUGGAAAAUAAUGGAAGCACUACUAGCAUUGUUUGAUGUAUAGUUGGAACUUACAUCUUGAGUGGUUCAAGUGCAAUCAUGCCC
Molecule: non-coding RNA, 382 nt
Organism: Nicotiana tabacum (common tobacco)
Lineage: Eukaryota; Viridiplantae; Streptophyta; Magnoliopsida; Solanales; Solanaceae
Source: RefSeq, a predicted model, not a curated record